GUGGGGAAUAUUGGACAAUGGGGGGAACCCUGAUCCAGCCAUGCCGCGUGUGUGAAGAAGGCCUUUUGGUUGUAAAGCACUUUAAGCGAGGAGGAGGCUCUUCUAGUUAAUACCUAGGAUGAGUGGACGUUACUCGCAGAAUAAGCACCGGCUAACUCUGUGCCAGCAGCCGCGGUAAUACAGAGGGUGCGAGCGUUAAUCGGAUUUACUGGGCGUAAAGCGUACGUAGGCGGCUUUUUAAGUCGGAUGUGAAAUCCCUGAGCUUAACUUAGGAAUUGCAUUCGAUACUGGGAAGCUAGAGUAUGGGAGAGGAUGGUAGAAUUCCAGGUGUAGCGGUGAAAUGCGUAGAGAUCUGGAGGAAUACCGAUGGCGAAGGCAGCCUCCUGGGAUGACACUGACGCUCAUGCACGAAAGCGUGGGGAGCAAACAGGAUUAGAUACCCGAGUAGUCC
Molecule: ribosomal RNA, 451 nt
Filed under: uncultured bacterium
Lineage: Bacteria
Description: partial 16S ribosomal RNA
Rfam family: Bacterial small subunit ribosomal RNA
Source: RNAcentral